UUAAGGCGGCUUCGGCCGCGUAUAGAGUGGCGAACGGGUGAGUAACACGUGACCAACCUGCCCCGCGCUCCGGGACAACCGCUGGAAACGGCGGCUAAUACCGGAUGCUCCGGGGAGGCCCCAUGGCCUCCCCGGGAAAGCCUUAACGGCGCGGGAUGGGGUCGCGGCCCAUUAGGUAGACGGCGGGGUAACGGCCCACCGUGCCCGCGAUGGGUAGCCGGACUGAGAGGUCGACCGGCCACAUUGGGACUGAGAUACGGCCCAG
This 265-nucleotide ribosomal RNA is filed under the name uncultured Actinomycetes bacterium. RNAcentral describes it as "uncultured actinobacterium partial 16S ribosomal RNA". It matches the Rfam family "Bacterial small subunit ribosomal RNA", at positions 69 to 334 of the family's 1533-position model. Lineage: Bacteria; Bacillati; Actinomycetota; Actinomycetes. The record is from RNAcentral.